Molecule: ribosomal RNA, 498 nt
Filed under: uncultured bacterium
Lineage: Bacteria
Description: partial 16S ribosomal RNA
Rfam family: Bacterial small subunit ribosomal RNA
Source: RNAcentral
AUUGAACGCUGGCGGCAGGCCUAACACAUGCAAGUCGAACGGUAACGGGCCUUCGGGUGCCGACGAGUGGCGAACGGGUGAGUAAUGUAUCGGAACGUACCUUUCAGUGGGGGAUAACGUAGCGAAAGUUACGCUAAUACCGCAUAUUCUGUGAGCAGGACAGCAGGGGAUCGCAAGACCUUGCGCUGAUUGAGCGGCCGAUAUCAGAUUAGCUAGUUGGUGGGGUAAAGGCCUACCAAGGCGACGAUCUGUAGCGGGUCUGAGAGGAUGAUCCGCCACACUGGAACUGAGACACGGUCCAGACUCCUACGGGAGGCAGCAGUGGGGAAUUUUGGACAAUGGGGGCAACCCUGAUCCAGCCAUGCCGCGUGAGUGAAGAAGGCCUUCGGGUUGUAAAGCUCUUUCGGCCGGGAAGAAAUCGUACGGGCUAAUACCCUGUGCGGAUGACGGUACCGGCAUAAGAAGCACCGGCUAACUACGUGCCAGCCGCCGCCGUAA